CCUAAAUCAAAUCCCUUACAAUCAUACAGUGAAAGUGACAAAUAGAUUCAAGGGAUUAGAUGUGAUAGAGAGAGUGCCUAAAGAACUGUGGACAGAGGUCCGUGACAUUGUAUAGAAGGCAGGGAUCAAGACCAUCCCUAAG
Cervus elaphus (red deer) is the source of this 142-nucleotide long non-coding RNA. RefSeq lists it as uncharacterized. The transcript is spliced from 2 exons. NCBI's taxonomy places the organism in Eukaryota, Metazoa, Chordata, Mammalia, Artiodactyla, Cervidae. The record is from RefSeq and is a predicted model, not a curated record.